Tupaia belangeri chinensis (Chinese tree shrew) is the source of this 1193-nucleotide long non-coding RNA. RefSeq lists it as uncharacterized. The transcript is spliced from 6 exons. The record is from RefSeq and is a predicted model, not a curated record. Lineage: Eukaryota; Metazoa; Chordata; Mammalia; Scandentia; Tupaiidae.
GUGAGCGGGACGCGCCCGGGCCACCUGGGCGGAGGAGGCUCCGGAAACUCCGGGGCGGGCCCCGAGUGCUCUCGCCGGCGACCUCGGGCUCUUCCCAGUCAAGUGCUGCGUCGACGUGGCCACUCCGCGACUGGGGCGGCCGCCCAGGUCCCCCAGGGCCAGCUCGGUCCCGCCUGCCGAGUGUCGUAACCAGGCAGCCGGUCGAGUUCUAGAAGUCUCCGAGAACCCUGCGCCAACUGCAGCUCCUGUUGGCGCUUCUCGCACUGCGCUUUUGAUUUAGGGGUCCGGGAUCUGGAGGAAGUGAGGAAGAAGGGAGACCGAGGGACCGGGACGCAGCGCCUGGCGCAGGGCCUCGUCUCAGAACUGGGUCGGGGAGUUACCACCGCGCGCGCAAGGAGCGCUAAGCCUGUUGAACCUCACAGUUGGCUCCAACCGCGGAAAACCACUGCUUGCCCCACCAGCCAGGCAGACGUGACGAGUUUGGUUUCUAUUCCUCGAAGGAGAUUGAGAGUUCUAAAUACACGAAUGUACAUUUAGCGCGACUGUAACUUGUGCUGGAUGGAAGUUCCCACGAUGUUGGCCAAAUUCAGAAUAAAAUUCUUCGAAGCGUUUUUGAAAACCGAUUCGUCAGUGCUAAAUAUUGAGGAUGAAAAGGAAUAAUCUCCUCCCAAAUCUGUGAGAUAUAUGAGGACUUCAAAUAAAACUACACAUGAUCCAUGCCUUCAGCAAUACUAGAAAAGAGAGGAUACCAUAAACAUCAAAUUGCCAGAAAACAGAAGAAUGAAAAGUGAUGGCCACUUUUGAGAACUAAGACUGUUUUCAGCUCUUGGGACCUUAUCUAGGUGAUAAAGUUCUACAGAAUAGUUGGCAGGAAAAUAAGGAAAAGAGGUCACAGAUAGAAACUUGAUUUCUAUCCAGUGCAUUUAGAUACAAUCGUGCCAGCAAAUUCCUCAAGGACAUAGUGCAAUGGAAACAAUUCAGAAAAUAAGAAAAACAGACAAAAAAGUAUGAGAAAACCUCAAAAAAGUUCAUGGAAAAUGGGAUUCAGAGGCCUUCCCUGCUACAAGGCAUGAACCUGCUCAGGUCUCACCUCAACGUGCUGCCAGAGCUCUAGCAAACCCAGCUUCUGCUCACAUUUCUGCCUCUGACACCACCAGACCGAUCCGCGUGGCUAUGAAGAUCAUCAAGCUCAC